Molecule: ribosomal RNA, 504 nt
Filed under: uncultured bacterium
Lineage: Bacteria
Description: partial 16S ribosomal RNA
Rfam family: Bacterial small subunit ribosomal RNA
Source: RNAcentral
GAUAAACGCUAGCGGCAGGCUUAACACAUGCAAGUCGAGGGGCAGCAUAGAUUGUAGCAAUACAAUUGGUGGCGACCGGCGCACGGGUGCGUAACGCGUAUGCAACCUACCCGUCACAGGGGGAUAAUCCGGAGAAAUCUGGUCUAAAACCCCAUAACAUAUGGAUCGGCAUCGGUUCAUGUUGAAAUUUUCGGCGGUGACGGAUGGGCCUGCGUAGCAUUAACGUGUUGGUGAGGUAACGGCUCACCAAGGCGACGAUGCUUAGGGGGAAUGAGAGGUUCUCCCCCCACACUGGUACUGAGACACGGACCAGACUCCUACGGGAGGCAGCAGUGAGGAAUAUUGGUCAAUGGGCGCAAGCCUGAACCAGCCAUGCCGCGUGCAGGAUGACGGCUCUAUGAGUUGUAAACUGCUUUUGUACGAGGGUAAAGUGGGUUACGUGUAACCUUUUGAAAGUAUCGUACGAAUAAGGAUCGGCUAACUCCGUGCCAGCCGCCGCCGUAA